Molecule: unclassified non-coding RNA, 369 nt
Filed under: uncultured fungus
Lineage: Eukaryota; Fungi
Description: partial contains ITS1, 5.8S rRNA and ITS2
Source: RNAcentral
AACGCACCUUGCGCUCUAUGGCAAUCCGUAGAGCAUGCCUGUUUGAGUGCCGUGAAAUCUCCCACCCCAAGCGGUUUUUAAAUGAAACGGCUUGGCGGAUGGGGUCUGGAUGGGUGCCUCUGCCUGCGCUACCUAGCACAGGCUCGCCCGAAAUGCAUGAGCGCCUUGAGCCCCUUUGCAUCCGCCUCUCUGUUUGGGGGGAGGGGGCCAAGCAGGGUUUUUCUCCUGGCAUGGCAUGGUACGUCAUUUGCUAUGUCGGCUAAAGGAGGGAUGUUUGGUUGUGUCUGCGUGUGCUUCAAACUUGCCUCUGUGGCACAUCCCAAUUUCACUUCUGGUCUCAAAGCAGGUAGGAUCACCCGUUGAGCUUAA